GAGGGUAUAGCUUAAGUGGUAGAGCACAUGCUUAGCAUGCACGAGGUCCUGGGUUCAAUCCCCAGUACCUCCU
RNAcentral lists this transfer RNA (73 nucleotides) under Camelus bactrianus (Bactrian camel). It matches the Rfam family "tRNA". From Rfam's summary of the family: Transfer RNA (tRNA) molecules are approximately 80 nucleotides in length. Their secondary structure includes four short double-helical elements and three loops (D, anti-codon, and T loops). RNAcentral also lists the same sequence under 3 other names. Lineage: Eukaryota; Metazoa; Chordata; Mammalia; Artiodactyla; Camelidae. The record is from Rfam by way of RNAcentral.